GCGUGGUGCUUCAGAGGUAGGAUUCCCUCCUUCCAUGUGGGAGACCCGGGUUCAAUCCCCGGCCAGUGCA
This 70-nucleotide transfer RNA is filed under the name Loxodonta africana (African savanna elephant). It matches the Rfam family "tRNA". From Rfam's summary of the family: Transfer RNA (tRNA) molecules are approximately 80 nucleotides in length. Their secondary structure includes four short double-helical elements and three loops (D, anti-codon, and T loops). Further hydrogen bonds mediate the characteristic L-shaped molecular structure. tRNAs have two regions of fundamental functional importance: the anti-codon, which is responsible for specific mRNA codon recognition, and the 3' end, to which the tRNAs corresponding amino acid is attached (by aminoacyl-tRNA synthetases). tRNAs cope with the degeneracy of the genetic code in two manners: having more than one tRNA (with a specific anti-codon) for a particular amino acid; and 'wobble' base-pairing, i.e. permitting non-standard base-pairing at the 3rd anti-codon position. Lineage: Eukaryota; Metazoa; Chordata; Mammalia; Proboscidea; Elephantidae. The record is from Rfam by way of RNAcentral.